GCUAAAAGAACUAAGUUAUAGGCACACGAAACAAGUUGAGCUAUUUCACUAUCCAUUUUCGUGAGAUGAUGUGACAUAAUUAUAUAAAAUAGUGCAAUAGGGGUGAUAGGCCUGUCACAUCUUGUUAUAUCUUGAUAUCUCUGAACUAUAAUAGUAUUUAAGUAGAUUAAAGAGUGAUUAGGCUGUUUAAUAGUACGAAUUUAAAUAAAAAAGGCUUCUAAGGGUUAACAUUUAAGAAGAUUAGAUUUAACUAUUCAUAUUUUAAAAUUGUGUUAAUUAAGAGAUAAUUUAUUAACCGUGAACAAAAUUUAUAAUGUUAUUAUAAGUACUAAAAAGGUAUUGUAGAUGAACUCGGCAACACUCCCUUUAACUGUUUAUCAAAAACAUAGCCCGUAGUAUUUUUUGCGGGUGUUUUCUGCCCGCUGAUAUAUGUUGAAUGGCCGCAGUACCCUGACUGUGCAAAGGUAGCGUAAUCAUUUGACUUAUAAUUGAAGUCCUGUAUGAACGAAAAUAUAUAGGGGGGACUUUAUUUAUAAUAUUAAUUGAACUUACUAAGUAAGUGCAAAUACUUACAUAAAAAUAAUAGACGAGAAGACCCUAAAAAUUUUAAUGAUAUGCACUAUAAGUUUUUGUUGGGGCAACAAAGUAGCAUUUUAACCUACUUUAACGACAUGUCACAUAAUGUAGAUAGAAUAAAUUACUUUAGGGAUAACAGCGUAAUAUUUAUUUGUUUGCGACCUCGAUGUUGGACUAGGGAACGAUUGCUUAGAAGGCAUGCUGUCUUGCUCUGUUCGAGCAUAUUACCCUACAUG
This 812-nucleotide ribosomal RNA is filed under the name Camaenidae gen. sp. C FK-2010. Its description in RNAcentral is "partial 16S ribosomal RNA". The record is from RNAcentral. Lineage: Eukaryota; Metazoa; Mollusca; Gastropoda; Stylommatophora; Camaenidae.